UUGCACUCACACUCACACAUUCAUCAACAUAUAGACCUGAAAAUCUUCUGAAACAAAAAUCCAGCUUCCAGCUUUUCUUUUUUCCUUCUCUUUACAAAAAUUUGGAAGGAAUUUUCUUUGAGUUUUUGGGUUCUUGAACUAAGAUAUAAGCUGAUACUGAAGCUCUGAAGGUCGCAUGUGUGAAGCCAUGUUGUUUAUGAAUCUGACCUUUAACAUGGUCAGAACCAUGGAUUUCAAAGCUGAAACAGAAGUCCGAUUAUCAAUAGACAUGGAAAAGCCGACAUAUUUCUGGAAGAUCACCACUGGAAAUUUCAAUUGUAGUCAUUAGAGUAGCUAUUUUGAUAAUGUGAAUCAAGUUUGUUUGUUACUCCACAGCUGAGUAUUAUUCAGGAAUGUUUAACCAUGGGCCUGUAAUUGAUUGAUUCAUAGCCUAUUGUUACAGCAAACUUGGUAGAUUCAGCUGUAUAAAGUAAUUUAUCAAAAGUAUGAUUUGAAACUUGUUUAUUAUUCAACAAGACAAUUGUUUCCUGUA
Long non-coding RNA from Nicotiana tabacum (common tobacco), 532 nucleotides. RefSeq lists it as uncharacterized. The record is from RefSeq and is a predicted model, not a curated record. Lineage: Eukaryota; Viridiplantae; Streptophyta; Magnoliopsida; Solanales; Solanaceae.